CUAUGGAGGUGAUGAGCUGCGUUGCGGGCUCCGGGCUGGCGGCUGGCUGGGCCUCGGGGCCACAUGCCCUCCCACGCCGGGGCGCCGGGCAGGGGAGCGCGAGCGCCCUGAGCCUGGUGAGGCGCCAGCAACAGCCAGGCCGGGUCUGACGGUUCCGGGCCGUGAAUGCGUGGAGGACAGCGGCCUGGCCUCGGCCACUUUCUCCGCGGCCCGAGGCCGCCUUCGGCCUGCGUUCCCUUGCCCGGAAAUGAGAUUAGUUUAGGUGGAGUUACGUUCAUUGAUCGUCGACUAUGUAUGCCAGGGAGUUUGUAACAUAGGCGGAGAUUUUUUCCGUGUAAGCGGGAAGCCCCCCCCCCCCCCCCCCGUUUAACUGCCUUCUACCUGCUCUACCCCACCGUAAAGUAACUCAGUGUAGAAGCCAAAGCCAUUCAAGGUGGAGACUAUCACAACUGCUUACAGGUGCAGAACUUGGCGGAAAUUGAAUGAGUGUCGCCAACCUUGCAGGUGAAAGAUGAGUCCUUGAAGUACAGACACCUGCCAGCUGAAUACCAUCUGGGAGCACAGAGGUGACUUUAAGGAUAUCCUUGGUGAGGAUUUUGAGAAUUUGAUCUUCACAAGAGUUGCUUGGAACAUUUAAAAAUUUCCAGGAGCCUGAGGAGUACUGAAAUAAUUACUUUUGGACAGUCCAUAAAUAUGAAUAAAUAUAUUUAAUGUGCUUGA
This is a long non-coding RNA of Cynocephalus volans (Philippine flying lemur), 720 nucleotides long. RefSeq lists it as uncharacterized. NCBI's taxonomy places the organism in Eukaryota, Metazoa, Chordata, Mammalia, Dermoptera, Cynocephalidae. The record is from RefSeq and is a predicted model, not a curated record. The transcript is spliced from 3 exons.